RNAcentral lists this ribosomal RNA (179 nucleotides) under Rhodospirillales bacterium. RNAcentral's name for it is "partial 23S ribosomal RNA". It matches the Rfam family "Bacterial large subunit ribosomal RNA", at positions 2734 to 2925 of the family's 2925-position model. Lineage: Bacteria; Pseudomonadati; Pseudomonadota; Alphaproteobacteria; Rhodospirillales. The record is from RNAcentral.
GGCACAGCCGGGUAGCUAAGUACGGAAAAGAUAACCGCUGAAAGCAUCUAAGCGGGAAACUUACCUCAAAACUAGGCCUCCCUGAGGGUCGUGGUAGACCACCACGUUAAUAGGCCGGGUGUGGAAGUGGAGUAAUCCGCGAAGCUAACCGGUACUAAUCACCCGAUAGAGUUCAACAU